AACGAACGCUGGCGGCGUGGAUAAGACAUGCAAGUCGAACGGCCCCGACAUUUUAGCAAUAAAAUGUCGGGUAGUGGCGAAAGGGUGCGUAACACGUAGCUACCUACCUCGAAGUUGGGGAUAGCUCGGCGGAAAGCCGGAUUAAUACCGAAUGUGAUCGUGAGAUCAAAGCUGGGGAUCGUAAGACCUGGCGCUUUGAGAUGGGGCUGCGGCCUAUCAGGUAGUUGGCGGGGUAAGGCCCACAAGCCUAAGACGGUAGCUGGUCUGAGAGGACGACCAGCCACACUGGAACUGAGA
Molecule: ribosomal RNA, 297 nt
Filed under: uncultured bacterium
Lineage: Bacteria
Description: partial 16S ribosomal RNA
Rfam family: Bacterial small subunit ribosomal RNA
Source: RNAcentral